CUCAGGCACACGCGGGCGUCCUGGGGCCGCGCGGCUGCGCCGCAGAAGGUGAAAGAGCAACGCGAGGCGCGCAGCCGCUGCACCGUGGUGCGCACGAGCGCGGCCGGCCGGCGACCCCAGCGCACCCACAGGCAGCAUGUAAAGAAAUGUUGAGGACUGGACACUGUGAACAUCACUCACUCAUAGCGUCACCAAGAGGUGGAGCCAAGUCAAUGGCAAGUGAAGAACAAUUUCCUCAACAACUCUGAAGCAGAGCAGAGAUUUUCCCUAUUCUGGCCCUAUUCCGGAAGUGGACAGCACAAUGCAGUAAAAGCAAUCAGCAUUUGCCCCUGCGAGUCAGGGAAACAAACCACUCUAAAUACUCAAACUGGGGAUUUAAUAUUGAGACGUGGCUACAGGCACAGUGAAGGUGCUGGCACAGCAAACAUGGGACAGAGUGGCAACCCAGAGAAUAGAAAUAACAGGAAGCUGCUACCCAUCCCCAAGGAGGUGGAGUGACCUGACCGCUGAGGAGCCAGGGUCACCUGGUGGAAGCCAGAACCCGACAGACCUGUCCUGUGGGAGAUGGAGCCACAGGUUCAACAGCUGCUGUUAGAGACCCUGCCAGAGCCAGAGAGAAGGGGGAAGGGGAUCCCCCCGGUUUCUCCAUGCCUCUGGCCUUCUCCCGUCCCAUUGACUGAACUUUGCUGAAGCCAAACAGUAGAGAAGCCUCAAAGAGCCUCCUUCCUUGUGAAUCACUGGGGAGAAGGGUACAGGCAGGGGGUGUGAGUGGAUCUGAGGAAAAACAGGCCAGCUGCUGCUGCUGCUGUCCUUUCUGAAAUUCUUCCUUGAGUUCUUUCAAAAGUUCUUUCUAUUCCUAUGUUAUGGGCUGAAUUGUGUCCCCCUCAAAAAAAUCCCCAUGUUGAAAUCCUAACCCCCAGCACCUCAGAAUGUGACUGUAUUUGGAGAUGGAUCCUUUAAAGUGGCGAGUAAGGUAAAAUGAGAUCACAUGGGCAGGCCCUAAUCCAGUAUGACUGGACUCCUUGUAACAGAUUAGGACACAGAAGGAGGACCAUGUGAAGACACAGGGCAAAAACGGCCAUCUGCGAGGCAAGGAGGGAGACCUCAGAAGGAACCAACCCUACCGGCACUUGGAUCUCGACCUCCAGACUGUGAGGAAAUAAAUUCCUGUUGUUUAAGCCACCCCGUCGGUGGUAGCUUGUUAUGGCAGCCGGAGCAAACUAAUCCAUCCUAGUUCUCAGUGACCCCUUCUCUGUCUCUUACCCUUCCUUGAACCAUUGGGCAUAAGUGAUCCUUUGCCCCCAGCUUCUGCCCUCACCUACGUUCUCUUCCGUGGUGGUUCCAUUUUCCCGCUGGGUUUCAGUGGCCACCCCUCUGGUAUAAUGCUCAGAUCCUCAUUGCCAGCUCCAGCCUCUCCCAGACUCGUGCCGCAAUCAUCCUUUCUGCAUACCUCUAUUUGGAUAUUCUGUCUCAGGAGCAACAUGAAUAAAACUAAAUGCAUUUUUCUCCCACAGAUUACUUUGCCCUGAUUUCUCUGUUAAUGACAUCACAUUCUCCUUUAGUCCUGGACCUAGGACUUAGUCAUGUUGGAGUCCCAACUUCUCUCCACCCGAAUCCUGUUUAUUCCAGUUGGUGAUACCUCCACACAGUCUCUCAAGAGUCUCAUCUUUCCAUCACCACCCCUCUGCUGUCAUUGGAACCGACAUGGUAGCCUCCUCAGUAAUUCUCGGUAGCACCCUAGCUUCCCACUGCUCUGCUUGAUCCUCCACAUUGGACUUUCUAAAGUGCAGCUCUGGUCCCAUCACUCCCCUUCUCAAACCCUUCAGUGCCUGCCCCUGCCCCCCAGGAAGCUCGGGGCAUCUUGCUUGGCAUUCAAGACCUUCCACUGCACCCACCUCAUCUGGUCUCCCCUUAGGGACAUCCAUCCAUCCAUUUAUUCAUUCCCCAUCUCUGCAUACUAAGCCCUGUGCCAAUCACUAUGUACAUUCUUUCAUGUAACCCUCUCUAUAAUUGCACAGUGGCUAUUGUCCCCAUGUUGCACAGGGGGAAAUUGAAUUUAGAGCAGUUGAAUGACUUGCUCGAGGUCCCACAAUUCGGUGGGGAAGCUGGGACCUAAAUUUAUGUCUUUCUGGCUCCAGAGCCCUUCGCUAGAUAAACCAGGCACCUGAGAGCUAAGAAUGUCCCUUGUACAACAAUAAUCAACUGAACUGAGACUCAAGAUCCAAGAGGGAAUGGUGGCAGAAGGUUCGGGUGUGCCGCUGCUGGCUUGACAGCCUUCUGUUUCUAGAUCACACAGGCCGGGAUUGUCCAGAACUUGGCCACUCCCAAAAAGCUGCGGGUGGGAUUUCAUGGAGUUCACCAGGGCACACGCCUGGCUCUGAAAACUCACAAAGCAAAAGACAAAAGAGGCAUAUGGUCCACUGUACAACAGCUGAAUGUCACUAAUUCAUUACUGUUCUAAGGAACCUCAAGUAUAGGAAAAUACAAAGUAAAAAUUCCAGAGUCAGGGGCAGCAGGUUAGCUCAGUGGGUCAGAGCAUGGGGCUCUUAACAACAAGGUUGCCAGAUCCAUCCCCACAUGGGCCACUGUGAGCUGCGCCCUCCACACCUAGAUUGAAACCACUACUUCACUUGGAGCUGAUGGGUCCUGGAAAAGGACACUUAAAUAAAUAAAUAAAUAAAAAUUCCAGAGUCAAAAUGCAAUGUAAGUAUCCUGGACUGGAUUCUGGAACAGAAAAAGGAUCUUAGUGGGAAAACUGGUUAAAUCUGAAGUCUGUAGGUUACUUAAUAGUAUUGUAUUGCGCUAAUGUUAAUGUUUUCUUUUGCUAAAUCCUUAGUUGUGUAAGAUGUUAACACUGUGUAAGAUGUAAACACAUGGUUGUAUAAGAUGUUAACACAAAGUGAAGGAACUCUACUAUUUUUGCAACUCUUUUGUAAGUCUAAAAUUAUUUCAAAAUGAAGUUACGAAAAUUAGAAGAUGACCUUUAA
This is a long non-coding RNA of Rhinolophus ferrumequinum (greater horseshoe bat), 2987 nucleotides long. RefSeq lists it as uncharacterized. NCBI's taxonomy places the organism in Eukaryota, Metazoa, Chordata, Mammalia, Chiroptera, Rhinolophidae. The record is from RefSeq and is a predicted model, not a curated record. The transcript has 3 exons.